CCUACGGGAGGCAGCAGUGGGGAAUUUUGGAUAAUGGGCGAAAGCCUGAUCCAGCAAUGCCGCGUGAGUGAAGAAGGCCUUCGGGUUGUAAAGCUCUUUUGUCAGGGAAGAAACGGUGAGGGCUAAUAUCCUUUGCUAAUGACGGUACCUGAAGAAUAAGCACCGGCUAACUACGUGCCAGCAGCCGCGGUAAUACGUAGGGUGCAAGCGUUAAUCGGAAUUACUGGGCGUAAAGCGUGCGCAGGCGGUUUUGUAAGUCUGAUGUGAAAUCCCCGGGCUCAACCUGGGAAUUGCAUUGGAGACUGCAAGGCUAGAAUCUGGCAGAGGGGGGUAGAAUUCCACGUGUAGCAGUGAAAUGCGUAGAUAUGUGGAGGAACACCGAUGGCGAAGGCAGCCCCCUGGGUCAAGAUUGACGCUCAUGCACGAAAGCGUGGGGAGCAAACAGGAUUAGAUACCCUGGUAGUCCACGCCCUAAACGAUGUCUACUAGUUGUCGGGUCUUAAUUGACUUGGUAACGCAGCUAACGCGUGAAGUAGACCGCCUGGGGAUACGGUGCAAGNUUAAAACNCGAAAGAUGACGNNGAGAGNGCGACGACGACGACGAGGGAGGAGG
Molecule: ribosomal RNA, 613 nt
Filed under: uncultured bacterium
Lineage: Bacteria
Description: bacterial SSU rRNA
Rfam family: Bacterial small subunit ribosomal RNA
Source: RNAcentral